AAAACCGGGGCAACUCGGUGAGUACAGCGGCGGAAGGGUGCGUAAUACAUGGAUAACGUACCCUCCAGUUCGGGAUAACUCUCCGAAAGGUGGGCUAAUACCGGGUAAUGGCAGCGGGUGGCAUCAUCUGCUGCUUAAAGACGCAAGUCGCUGGAGGAGCGGUCCAUGGCCUAUCAGCUAGUUGGCGGGGUAACGGCCCACCAAGGCAAUGACGGGUAGCCGGACUGAGAGGUUGAACGGCCACACGGGAACUGAGACACGGUCCCGACAUCUACGGAUGGCAGCAGUAGGGAAUCUUGCGCAAUGGGCGAAAGCCUGACGCAGCGACACCGCGUGGGGGAUGAAGGCCUUCGGGUUGUAAACCCCUUUCAUGAGGGAAGAACACUGACCUAACCUCAGGAAGAAGCACCGGCUAACUCCGUGCCAGCAGCUGCGGUAAUACGGAGAGUGCGAACGUUGUUCGGAUUCACUGGGCGUAAAGGGCACGUAGGCGGCUCGGCAAAUCGGUCGUGGAAUCUCGACGCUUACCGUCGAAACGGCGGCCGAAAAUACCGGGCUCGAGGGCGUGAGGGGUCACUGGAACUCCUGGUGAAGCGGUGAAAUGCGUAGAUAUCAGGAGGAACGCCGGAGGCGAAAGCGAGUGACUGGCGCGUUCCUGACGCUGAGGUGCGAAAGCUAGGGGAGCAAACAGGAUUAGAUACCCUGGUAGUCCUAGCCGUAAACGAUGGACACUGAGUGGGGGGAAGGGCUUGCCUUUCCCUGCUGCAGCUAACGCGUUAAGUGUCCCGCCUGGGGAGUACGGCCGCAAGGUUAAAACUCAAAGGAAUUGACGGGGGCUCGCACAAGCNGGUGGA
RNAcentral lists this ribosomal RNA (854 nucleotides) under uncultured Bacillota bacterium. Its description in RNAcentral is "bacterial SSU rRNA". It matches the Rfam family "Bacterial small subunit ribosomal RNA", at positions 70 to 937 of the family's 1533-position model. The record is from RNAcentral. Lineage: Bacteria; Bacillati; Bacillota.